UUGUAGUACUCUGUUUUCAAAGUGUUUUUCCAAUGCCUCGUGUUUUUGCUAGCUCUGUUCCAUGUCUCUAAAAGAGCUAUGUUAUUUCGUGCUGUGAGACGAUAUUCAAGGGUCUCUGUGUUUUUGUUAGUAACGGAGACAGAUGGGAUGGUGUCAAGUUUCAUUUUAUUAUAACACCCUCUGCCUCUCUCCCUUUAAUGCAAACUGACAAUCACAUACCUCUCUCAAAGACAACGGACGACACAACAGGCUCUCAGCCUUUGCAGUAAAAGCUGAGUCUCCAUCUCAAUUCCUGAGCGCCAGAUCGAUUACCUCAGCGCUAUGGAAACCGUUACGAAGGAUCUCAUCCCUCAUUACAAAGCACAGACCUGAGAGCCAAGCCUCUCAAGAGGCGAAGCGGAGUAACGACCUUCAUAAAGGAGGGAAACCAAAAGCUGAGUGAUUGACCAGGGCCUGGAAGGUUGAUGCAUUCAUCAAGAUGACAGCCGCUAGGUGUCUGGCUGAAAGGAAGACAGGACAUCAUCGAACGAUAUCCAGCCGAUAGAUAUGACGAACUCCGAGGCAGAGAGGUUGCCAUGGCGUCAGCACCGACAACAGGCACAAACAGUGGCAGCAUGUAAUGUGCUGAACAUCCCAGGGCAGCACAGCUGGGCACUCCACCGACUGCUAGUGAGUGAAUCCAGGUGGAGACACUACAUUUAGGUUUUUCGCUUCUCAUGAUUGUUGCUCGUCAGUUUGUACGAUGUGAUCCCACCGAGAUCUUGGGUAAAAACUUGGAUACUUAUCGAUCCAAGAUGGCUGGUUUUGCCGUAUGACAAAAAGAAAUCUUUUACAAUCACCUAAAAUGGUGGCAAAGAUUGCACUGUGUACCUUUAGACAAAAAAGUUUUUUGUUAAUCAGAGAUCAGUAACAGUUACCACUGAGAUCCAGGCCCUCCUGAGAGAGGAAUGUCUAUUUUCCAGGCAGGUUAGGCCGGUGGUGGGUGUAUAGUGAAUCAGAGACAUAUGGGUGGCGGUAGAGAAUCGGUGAAUUAUAGCUUCUUUCAAAGCCCUGUUUGUUUUCCUAUGGAGCAGGAUGAGGCAUUACCUCAUCCUUGUGUUUUAGCUGCACACGGGUCACUGCCGCUCUGUAUGUGUGUGUGUGUGUGUGUAGCGCUGGUAUGAGCACACGUGUGCUGUUAGGGCAUUCCAAUGGCUUUCAGCAUAUUUCAGAUUAUCUCUACAAAGAUGUAAUGGCCCAAUGGGAAUGGGGUUUGGGAAGCUUGCUAAUAAGCUAACUGAUGAAUGGAAUGUUAAAUUGAGUCCACUGACAUGUUGAAUAUUGGCUAAAGCCUGCUGACCGCUUCCAUCUUCUGUGGUAUGUAAUAUCAGUCCAUAACUCAGUCCAUGCUAAAUCUGGGAUUUCUACAGUUCCGUGAAGUUUAUCAGUAUGGAAUUUUUUAAUAAAUGUUUUAAUUCCAGGUUUUGACAUAUUUCCUGCUGAAACCAGAAGAUGGGGUAGGAAAUAGAGAAAGGCUUGUCCUUAGUUUACAUCACAGACAAGGUGUUGGAGCACAUUCUACCAAACUUCUGAUCUAAAAGUAUUUUGUGUUAUAUUUUGUUCUAGGUAUUCAAAUGGCUUUUCUUGUUAGCCUUUUGUAGCAAUAUUAGUCUGUUGUAAUAUCUUACGCAAGGUAAGAAUAUUGGGCAGGCUAUAAUGGGUUGACCAUGUAUGUAUACAUAGAUGCCACAUUCGACCGCUUCAGAUGUGUCGUCACUCACAGUAAGAAUCAAUGAUGCCACAACAUUGUAAAAACCACCGAGAUUUAAAUUCCCGAAGAAAUGGGAUGACCUUUCACAGGUGAGAAUGUGUUGGUUUGUGUUUUUAUAUGUAUUAACUCAAUAUUACAGGGUUUUAAACUAUGGUACAUUUUUAGUGUCGUGUUAGCUGAUGCCUUCGUCUUGUAUUGUGUUAGUUUAGCAAAAUCAUCUGCUAAAGUCUACUGUAGGUAUAGAUAUCAUAUCAUACAUGCGUACAACUACGUUGCAGAUGCACAGUCAACUUGCUCUCGAAUGUUCACGGACCGGCUUUGACCAUUCCAAUAUGGCGGAUGGUUUACAUAUAGCGGCCCGUAGAAACAUCCGCUAAUGAAGCAUCUUAUUUAUAAAUAUCUAUGGGGUUAACUGGCCAAACGGUUAGCAUAUGCUAAGCUACUGGGUUGCUGACUGUAAGCUAACUGAAAACACAAUGAAAGAGAAAUGGUUACCAUUCAGGCACGGAAUACCCCAAAUAGGUAAGAGAGUGUAAAUUUUAAAUGUUUUAAAAAGUUUAAUGUGUGAUUUUUUUUUUUUUUUUUUUUUUUUUUUUUUUUAAGGAGUAGGCUACACAUGCAUAUAGAACGCUAAGCUAAUAUAGUUCAUAGUUAACUUGGACUCAAAUAAAAGUACAAAAAAAUUAUAUUUAGAUAUUACAUAUAAAAUUAUAUUAUUAUCCUGUAUAUGUUAAAUGUUUUUGUGAAUUUUUUUUUUUUUUUUUUUUUUUUUUUAGGAGUAAAGUUACAAGUAGAUGCUAAUCUAAUAUAAACCAUAGCUAAAAGACUAAAAUAAACAUUACAAAAUAAAAUAUUACAUUUAAAGUUAUAUUAUAUUUAAAUAUUAUAUAAGAACAUUGUUAUCUUGAAAAAUGUACUCAUUGUGCGUCUUUACCCUGGGUUCCAAACGUUAGAUUAGCACUGCUGUUGCUCUAGCCUUUAGGACUGCAGUGUCCUGGGACAUCAGAGAGGCCCUUCUCUCUGGCUGUGUUUUAGUUGUAGUCGAAGCCAGGCACAUCUGGACUCGAUUAGGCCCGUAAUGUCACAUGGACCAUCAGAUCACUGUCUCUACCUCAUUCGGCUCUGAGCUCCACCAUCUCCAGCAUCCCCACCUCCAACAUUUAAACAGUUAUUAGUGUUAAUCACACAUAAUCACUGACAUGUUUUACUCUGUGACAUCAUGCCUUAGGUUGAGUCUUCAAAACGUUAUGGCUGGAGAAAAACAGAACAUGAAAUAGUCAGUGUGACUCCUUCUAACUUCUGUUUCACAAGUUAAAUGCACAGUUUAGGGAAGCAAUGAAAAGAUUUCCCAUACACUGUCCUGUUAUAGUGUGAAUUUGUCAGGUUGAUGUUUUUCUCUACAUAGUUAGUAGGCAUUUUUAUCAAAAAAAAACAAAAAAGUGAUUGGACCAAAUGCCUCACCCAAUCACAUCUUCACUUACUCUUUUUGCUUGCAUAGACGUAUAUUACAUUAAUCAGGGCAUAAAUGCAUAGUAUAUUUAGCUCUGAGACUGCGAUUUUUUUUGAUCUGGUGCUCAUAUAAAUUCUGCAUUAUAUGAAAGUAAAAAACAAAAAUCUAUAAUCUUGCUCACAUAGAAUCAAGUGUGCAGGAGGAGGUUGUUUCAGGCCUCAGGGUCUCUCCAGCAUGUAUUGACUUAGCUGUGUACACAUAACACUCUCAAUGGUCCCGGCCUGCCAAACCUCAUUUUGUCACUAUCUCUCAGCCCCCGCUGAGAGUGAUGUUUUCCAACAGGAAAAAAAAACUCAAUUAGCAGGCUGAGUCUCCCGGACAGCCACAGGAGUCACCUGAUCAUUAAGAACUGACAUUAAUUAAAGCAGAUUUGUCUUCCUAAAUUAAGCUGGAAUUUUGGUCUCACCUCAGCUUUGUGAGCUGAAAUUUAAAGGUCAGAGGUCAGCUCUGUGGUCGGAAAAAGGUUUUCAGACUUCCAGCUUCUUGGUGUCACUCUCUCGCUCUCUCCCUCAUUUUCUUUCUCUUUUUACUACCUUUCCGGUGUAAAAGGAAUUCACAUCUGCCCAUGUAGCUGUUAUGUUACGCUCUAAACAUGCGUACAGUCUAGACUGCUGUGGUUGCGCCUGUUCAAGAAAGACUUAUAAAAACACGUUUGGAGAGUUCUGGUUUAUAUUUUAGUCAAUUCUGUAUGUGCUGGUUUCGCAAGUUCAUCACAAACACAUUUUUUUUUCUGUUUGUGCUGCUUAGAGGAUGCUUGGGUAGCUCAGAGAUUUUGGGUGGUUGCCAGGGUGUUGCUAAGGGGUGCUGGGAAUUUUCAUUGUUUGUUCCACUCCAUUUGUCUUUGUUUGCCUGUUCCUGUCAGUUUGUGCAUUAGUGGUGGGGAUUUUUCAGCAACUCUUUCUGCAAGUUACAAACAUACGACAGUAGGUGGCAACAAGUGACUGUCUUUAUGAGUGAGUCAUUAAAUCGAGUCGUUCAAAAACUCUGAUUCAUUCAGCAAUGAAUCAAGUGACAAAUGUUAUGAGGGAGUCAUUGAAUCAUUCACUCAGGCUGUUUAAGUCCACUUUUUUAAUGCCCUUCCCUAGCUAACUUCCAUCUUGUUCACUCGGAUAUACGUCAUUGCUUACUUUGCAUGAGUGCCCACUACUGGUGGAACCCUAGAAUCUUCCUGAACUGUUCAUAUGAGUAGACUCGCUCCCUUGGUCAAAAUCGAGGGGUCGAAGGUCUGUCCAAAUAAGCUACUCUCGUCCAUUUACCAAAGUUGAAUGCACUUCAAAAUGGUGGCAGGUAUUCCCCUAAGGGGAAGUGCUAAGAGAAGUUCACGAGUGUAUGUCUAAAAGUUAAAAGUUAAACACAAAUUUCUUUAAAAAAAAAUACAGAUUAAUUCACAAAUGUCUUUAUGACGCUGUAAAACUCAAGUUCAGAAUACUCAAAACAUUUAAGUACACUAAUUUUUUUAAGUUAGUAGAGCUUAAAAUUUUUGUGACAAGUGGGGCGGGGCCAAGAGCCAUGGAAGCGGAGCAAGGCCAGCGUGGUGCACAGGUGACUCUCAUUAACAAUCACGUCACCGGCAUUCCUUCGCUCCCACAGUUCUCAGCCUCACCCAACUCAUCAUAAUGUCAAUUAUAUACAGUUAAUUUACAUAAACAUCACAUUCAGAUCUUGGUUAAAUGUUGGAUAGCAAAUAACAUGCUAUUAUAACUAUCAAAGAGACUGUCAUUAUAUACUUGCAUGUAUAUAAUCAAAUUACAUACAGUAUAUGUGGUCUUAAAAGUUUUGCAACCACAGGCUCUACUCUUCACCACAAUAGUAACCCUACAAAACUAACAUAACGGAACGCGCUGUAAAUCCCAACAUAACACAACAUUAAACACUAACUUGUCUCCCUAUGUUAAUCUUAUGCAAAAACACACAAAAUAACACUUAAUUUCAGCAUUUAUUUAUACAGUCUGACACAAAGCAUGCUGGGAAUUAGAAAUCUGCUGCAACUCAACUCAAUCAUAUUAAGUUCAGCUUACUACAAUGAAAUUUUGAGUUCACACAACUUUUUUCUAUUAAGUACAAUGAACUUUCAUUAUUAUUUGAGUGAAACAAACUCAUUUAAUUUAAUUAAUUUCACUGUUCAGUUUUACAGUGCAUUUGAAGGUCGAAUCAAACACAGAUUCAUUCAUGUAUGCACAAAUCAUUUAAUCAUUCACUCAAACGAUUCCUUCAAAAUCACUGAUUAAUUCGCCACUAUGCCUUUUGCUAGGAUAUGCGCAACUGUGGUGACUUUGUUUUCACUGGCAGAGCAAAUAUAGACUAAUAACUAGCAAUAUUGUGUCUAAGAUGUACAUUUCUAAAUGUUAACUUAUUUUUUGAACUGUGGUGUAAAAGCAAUAUUACACUCAGUCACAAUCAUCCUACAUUCAGAACAACAACACUCUCGCUUGUGUGAUAUUGCUUUAAUGUACUCUAUAAUAAGUAAUAUGAAUAGCAUUUCUCGCAUAAUUAGGUCUUGGAUGAUUUCAAUGAGAAAUGUCUUACGAGAUAAAUCUGAGAAAUAAAACACAUUUUCUCUCUGUCUAACCAAUUCCAGAAAAACUGAGAUUUUAAAUAGACCCCAUUUUUCAUUUUUCUUUCCUGCAGGGUCACCUGUACGUUCUCAAACAGACAGACACAACACCACAGAGAAUUCACCAUGCAUGACUGAUGAAUUAAAACACUCAAGCGCAUGUCACCUUCUGCCACUUCCGUCAGCAUAACCGCCUGUCUGCAGCAGACCGCAAGCACUCUCUACAGGGCAAUAAAAACACAAGUGGAAUAAACUGAUUUUAAAAGGCCAGUUGUCUGGUGAAAGUAUGGAUGUGUGAAGUGAAGGAAGGAGAAGGGAGGGAGGGGAAGAGGAGGCUGUGUGUGUUACAUACCAGAGCGGUGAGAUCGAGCAUGUAGAGAGGACAAGGAUAAUUUAGAAACACAUACCACUCUGCUCAGCAAACACACGCAGUGUACUCGCUCCUGUAUUGUAGAACAUUACAAUGUUUGAGCUGCUGGGUCGCUGUGCGGGGUUUUAAAGCUGAGUGUGCACAUUCAUAUGUGGAGACACAUACUGUAUAUCCUGCUGAAAAAUCCAUCUUAAGCUGUUGACUGUGUUUUGGAAAAUGGUAGUAGUUGGUUUAUAGCUAGUCUAAGCUGGUCAUUAGCUGGUGCAAGGUGGUAGCCAGCAACCAGAAGGUCGUACACAGGGCUUUUAUAGCUUUGAAUGUAGGGUACGUUUACAUGGCAAUAAUGUACUAAAAACGGAAAAGUUUUUCUUUGUAUUUUUCCACAUACAGACGACAACGUUGUCAAAAUGAUCCCGUUCAAACCAAUCCGCGAAAACGACUAAAAGGAUUAUAUAAUGCAUGCCCGGCCAGUAGUUGGCGGUGUUACUUUGUAAAGAAACACUACGCACCAAUACACUGAACACGUAAUAAGCAUGCGCAUGAUGUCACCAUCUUUACACGGAGAUUCAAAAAUGUUCACUUUGAAACCCGUUUUCAAAAGUUUGCAUUUUCAGGCCUGCAAAACGCUGUUAAAAUGAAAGGGACACUUUAAAAACACAUCAGAUCUCAAUGGGGAAAAAUAUCAUGCUGGAUAUCUAUACUGAUAUGGACUGGGUAAUGUGUUAGGAACGAAAGGAUGCCACAUCGUUUGAUGAAAAUGAAAAUGAUCAACCUACAGAGGACUGAAUUCAAAGACACCCUGAAAAUCAAAGUGAAAAAAUGAUGCAGCAGGCUAGUCCAUUUUGCUGAAAUUUCAUUGCAGCAAUUCAAAAUGGUACUCAGUAGUUUGUAUGACCCCCACGUGCUUGUAUGCAUGCCUGACAACGUCAGGGCAUGCUCCUAAUGACACGACGGAUGGUGUCCUGGGGUUUUUCCUCCCAGAUCUGGACCAGGGCAUCACUGAGCUCCUGGACAGUCUAAGGUGCAACCUGGCUGCGUCAGAUGGACAGAAACAUAAUGUCCCAGAGGUGCUCUAUUGGAUUUACGUCAGGCGAGCAUCUGGGCCAUUUAAUGGUAUCAAUUCCUUCAUCCUCCAGGAACUGCCUGCCUUUAUUAGCAUGACUGUGAAUCACAAUGUUGCCAAAGCAACUGACUCUUUCACGUCCUCAUGAAGUCUGUUUCUGAUUGUUUGGUCAGAGACAUUCACACCAGUGGCCUGCUGGAGGUCAUUUUGCAGGGCUCUGGCAGUGCUCAUCCUGUUCCUCCUUGCACAAAGUAGCAGAUACCGGUCCUGCUGAUGGGUUAAAGACCUUCUACGGCCCUGUCCAGCUCUCCUAGAGUAAUUGCCUGUAUCCUGGAAUCUCCUCCAUGCUCUUUAGACUGUGCUGGGAGACACAACAAACCUUCUGGCAAUGGCACGUAUUGAUGUGCCAUCCUAGAGGAUUUGGACUGCCUGUGCAACAUCUAUUUAGUUUAUUUAGUUAGUUUGUUUAUAUUUUAGUUUUAUUAUUUUUGUGCUGUCAAAGUUAAUAUGUUAAUUUAUACAAUCUUCAAGUUUAUUGAAGUCUGUUCUGUAAAAUAUGAAACCUUUUUUAAUAUAUUCUGUAUCUAAAUGUAAAAUGUAAUUUGUUGCCAUUUUUAUUUUAUUUUAGUUAGAUUCAGAGUCAUGAAAAUCUAUUUGGUUUAUUUUCAGUUUUUCUAAUUAUAUUAGAUAUUAGAUAUUUAUUUUUAUUUCAUUUAACAAAGAUGUUUCACUUACCACUUACCAGCUAAUCAGACUAGCCAGUAAUGACCAUCCUGGACCAAUUAAAAACCAGUUACCAUGUUCAAAAACAUAACUACCAGCUUAAUAUGGACUUCCGGCUUCCACAAUGCACACACUAUAACCUUUGUCUUGUACAUGUUGCUGUUUCACUGCUACUUUCACACCUGAAAACAUCUUAAGGAGUAAGUGAGAUUUUUCCAGCUUGUCAAGUAUAUUUAUGUCAAGAGGUUAUUUUACUGUAAAUACUACUAUUUUGGCUGUCUGUUAAGACUGUCUGUGGCAUUGGAUGACGUUAGAAAGCUGUAGCCCAGAACAGAUGUUCAAACACUUUAUUCUGAGAAAAGCACCAUAUUUUCACUCAAUAACAUCUUUAUAACCAGCCUGGUCCCUUCUCUGAUCUGUCCCUGUGCAAAGAUGGACCACUUUGUCCCAAUUUUUAGCUCUGAAUUGACCUUCUAAUAUAAACAAGUUUACAUUUAUCCUUAUAAUUAAUACGUUUCUUAUCAUUCUCAAACUUGAAACAUGGCUCAAGCAUUUUUAUUUUGAAAAUAAUUUGUUCAUAUUGAUCUCUUGUUUCUCUCUGCAUUGGUUCAUUCAGGAAGGAGCUGUUUCACUCAUACGUAUGGUGAUUUACACCUCUUAAUUUUGUUGGUGUUACAGCUGCAGCUGAAAAGAAGCUUUGGACCGCUCAGAUUUUCAGAUUGUUUAAUCUUUUAAGCAAGGCUUUGUUGAGUCAACAUAAAUUCUGUAGUCAAAGCUUUUCUCAGUUUCCCUUCAUUAUUCACAAUCCUGUAAGCGCUGAGCAGUGAAGCAGAUGGCAUUUUAUGCUCACUAUUUUUCUUCUGAUUGUUUCAACAGCUGAACUUGGAGCCCCUUGUGUUACCGGUGGCUGAGAGGAAAGGUAGAGUUACACUGCAGUCUGUGAGGUUUCUCACACCCAACCCUGGAAUAUAUGUGCUGAUAAAUCAACAUUGAAUAUUCAUUCUGGAAUCUUGAAAGCUUCUGAUUUAUACUGUGGAAUCUAAAAUUGAUGCCUUUUAAUUUUAAGUUCAUUUUAAAUUAUCAGAAUAACAAUUUGACUGAAAAGUGAAUGUAACAAUUAACAUGAAAUUCAAGAAAUAGGAAAAUCUAACCUUGUGUACAGAUGGGUUCACACGAUCAUUGUCACAAAUGUAUACUUAUUUGAAUAGAGAGAAAUAGUGCAGCAGCUUUCUUUCUUUAUUUUCUUUCUUUCUUUCUUUC
This is a long non-coding RNA of Ctenopharyngodon idella (grass carp), 9230 nucleotides long. RefSeq lists it as uncharacterized. The transcript is spliced from 2 exons. Lineage: Eukaryota; Metazoa; Chordata; Actinopteri; Cypriniformes; Xenocyprididae. The record is from RefSeq and is a predicted model, not a curated record.